This 1526-nucleotide long non-coding RNA is filed under the name Anas platyrhynchos platyrhynchos (common mallard). RNAcentral's name for it is "lncRNA (ENSAPLG00000023121.1)". Lineage: Eukaryota; Metazoa; Chordata; Aves; Anseriformes; Anatidae. The record is from RNAcentral.
AGGAAAACUCCCAGCUGAUUGUAAGAGUGCUCUGUUGCCAUCACAAAAGACUCUCUUCUUUGGGAGAAAAGCUGAGUUUCCGGUGUGAGAUCAUCAGGUUCAAGAAAAGGAGAAAAAAAUGCUCUUAAAAAAUAACUGAAACAGACAGCAGAGCGGGAACUGGUGAUUGUCUGGCACACAGUCAGAUUGUCAGUCAUGGCAAGGCACGAGCAACACGGGCUUUGCAGCUGCAGGCUGAAAAAAAUCAGUGAGACUAAACAUCUGAAAGGCAAUUAACAUACAAGGUUCUCACCAUGCCUUCUGAUAGCUUUUUCGUCUCUCCUGGAUUGACAAGCAGCUUAUAUAGCAGAUUUAUGACCAGCACAAAGAAAGCAUUCAUGGAUUCUGGUUCAUCACCGAAGUUGUGAAUGCACAGAGCAUUUAACUCUACAUGGCAUGAAGAGCUGCUGAACCUACAGAACAGUACAUUUAGUUUCCGAACUGUUAGCAGAAAAUUCAUACUGCAGAGAAUAUUAUCCACUGUUGCUUCAUCCUCACUGGUAAUGGGCUUAAUCUUCUAAGGUAACAAUAACUGUGUUUCCAUCUGAAGCCUGUCUACUACCUGGACAAGGAACUUAUCCUCGAUGUCUUCUGGAUUGCUUACAGCCUGGUGUGUAGCUUUCCAGCAGACAUCUGGGUGGCUGAAAUCUCCCAUCAAGAUGAGAACAUGCGAGCAUGACACUUGUAGCUGAAGCAGGAAGGAAGGCCUUGUCAAAAGACUCUCUUUGGUCAAUUGGCCUCAAGUAGACCCCAACAACAAGGUGUCCUUUAUUGGUCCUGUCCUUAACUUUUAACCACAAGCUCUCAACCUGUCUGUGGCUCUUUCUGAGGUAGCUCUGCAAUUUAUCUGUUUCUUAACAUAGAGAACAACACCCACACAUCCCCACUCCUGUGCCCCUUCCAGUUGUGUGAUUCAUCCCACUAGGUUUCUGUGAUAGUAAUUAGGUCAUAGUUUUCUAGUUGCAUUGUAGUUUCUAGCUCCUUGUUUCCCAUGCUGCAUGCAUAAGUACAUAGGCACUUCAGUUGGGCUAGCAGCCACAUCAUCUUUUUAGAGGAGCCCUCCCUAAUUCAUUUGGGACAGUUCACAGGCAUUUCUCUGUUGCUUUCGAAGGUAUUGGUGUUCUCUUGUUCUUUUCUGUCACUCAGUGGCACAUCCUCUUCCCCUACUGAAUCUAGUUUAAAGCUCUGCUAAUAAGUCCAGGCAGCUUGCUUUGUCUAAGAGCCUGUGGGAAAGGGGCAACCAUCAAUUUUGAUUUAAAAAUAUCUAACCAUAGUAUUCACAAAAUUAAUAACGAAACAGAGUAGGUUAUUGAAUUACCCUGUAGAAACUACAGAUGCACAUACAUGAAGUUAUAUGGUUUGGAAAAAAAGUGUCCGGUGACAUCAUUCUAACAUAAAGAUUGUGUCUAAGGGUCACUUUAUUUAUAUUCCCACUCUUUCAGUCCAGAUUAUUCUCUUUAAAAGGUGAAAAUACAUCUUUACUGCUA